GAUGAACGCUGGCGGCGUGCCUAAUACAUGCAAGUCGAGCGAACGGACGAGAAGCUUGCUUCUCUGAUGUUAGCGGCGGACGGGUGAGUAACACGUGGAUAACCUACCUAUAAGACUGGGAUAACUUCGGGAAACCGGAGCUAAUACCGGAUAAUAUUUUGAACCGCAUGGUUCAAAAGUGAAAGACGGUCUUGCUGUCACUUAUAGAUGGAUCCGCGCUGCAUUAGCUAGUUGGUAAGGUAACGGCUUACCGAGGCAACGAUGCAUAGCCGACCUGAGAGGGUGAUCGGCCACACGGGAACUGGGACACGGUCCAGACGCCUACGGGAGGCAGCAGUAGGGAAUCUUCCGCAAUGGGCGAAAGCCUGACGGAGCAACGCCGCGUGAGUGAUGAAGGUCUUCGGAUCGUAAAACUCUGUUAUUAGGGAAGAACAUAUGUGUAAGUAACUGUGCACAUCUUGACGGUACCUAAUCAGAAAGCCACGGCUAACUACGUG
Molecule: ribosomal RNA, 497 nt
Filed under: uncultured bacterium
Lineage: Bacteria
Description: partial 16S ribosomal RNA
Rfam family: Bacterial small subunit ribosomal RNA
Source: RNAcentral